ACCAAACAAAAAUAAUUAGCAGUAUUCAACUAACUAAGAAAUCAUUGAAUUACAAACAAAAAAAAACUGAACAAUGAGUUCAUCACCAACACAAGGGUUCGGUCUGGGAGAAUUUCCGAAAUUCAUGAAGAUUCUACCUGCAAUUCUGGUUGUGGUAACUUGUUCGGUGAGAAAUUCAAAUACCCAUUUUCCAUCAAAAAGAUCACAAAUUUCAGGAGGCGAUUCGCUUUCUUCAGUAAUCUUCUUGGAACUGUGAAGAAGUUAAUAUGGAUAUAGUAGUUGAAGAUCUUCCAUCAUUUUUAAAAAGCUUUAGCACCUUGCAAAACCUAUAUCAACUUGAACAACAUUUAGCUGAUGAGAAUGAAAGGCUUGCUUUGAAAGUGGCUUUAGACAAUGCUGUCACACAGCUGGUUCAAUCUCACGCAAAGACAGUUGGGGAUCAAUCAGGCGCUUCCUCACUGGAACCCGAAAGACAAAAACAAGAUGUAAUGCUGGAGAAUCAAGUUACUUCUACAAAGAGAAGACUGUGUUCUAACUGUGGAAAAUCUAAGAAGCUCAAGACCGCAGCGACCAAGGUGAAGACUGAACUAGAUGUCAUACAAAGGUUUAAAGCUUCUGGUCAUAUAGGAGACGAUAAGUUUUUCCAAGGAAAGAGAUGAAAACCCAUUCAGCUUCGUCAAUUGGUGCUCAAACUCAACCUACAAACUCCAGCGGGUCGUAUACUAGUAGCGAAGAGUUGGACUCACCUCUGCACCGUGUUAUGCAGUUGGAUCAUCAUCGCAUUUAUAGGCCCAUAUCUUCGAGUAGAACUCCACGAACCCACUAUGCACGUAGCACCAGCAGUUCCACAUCAUACAGUAGUUCCGAGGAGGAGGACUACCCAUCUAGAAGCAGGAGCCGAUAUUCCAAGGAUGAUCCACCACGUAGAAUCAGCAGUUCCUCAUCAUACAGUAGUUCCCAGGAGGAGGACUACCCAGUCAGAAGGAGGAGUCGAUAUUCCAAGGCUGAUCCACCACAGAAAAAGCCGGGACAUGUUAGAAGAUUUAUGAACAAGAUUGCAGGCAUGUUCCAUCAUGAUCGCCUUGAGGAUACAGAUGCAUCAUUGUCGGAUCAUCAUCUUUCAGAUCAUCAUCAUCAUCAUCUUCGCCGCAAAAGCAAAGAGAAACGUAUGCAAAAGAGAAGAACAACAUCAGUUAACAAGCCAAUGAGAUUUCCGAACACUCGUAGAAAGGCAUCAGACGGUUAAAACUGUAAGUUAAUAACGAAACCAAAAAUUUGCCUAGAAGUAUGCCUGUUAUCUUCUCUGUUCUCUCCUUAUGUCAGGCUAGCUCUUCUAAGAUAGGAUUUUUUUCCACAAAGAAUUAAACAUCAAAGUCAUUUCAUCUUGUUUAUGUUUUUCAUCUCUUUCUAAAGUCUUAUCUUGUAAUUUCCUAGAAACUUUUCGGUUUCGACUAAAAAGUUUUUCUAUUGUUUGAUGGUGAUAAUUUGGGUGCUUCAGCCUUCAUGGCAAUUUCUUGUAACCGCACCUCUCUUUGCUAUAUUUUCCUAUUUUUGAAUUAUUCCUGUUGGAAUUCCAAGUAUAGUUUGACCUAAUCAAUUCACGAUGAGCUUACAGUAUCAUCCAUCCUGUAAGUUUGUCAUUUCCUUAUGUAACCUCAGGGUUAGUACCUGGAUUAUCUUUUUUUUUUUGUCUGAAGAGAACCAACCCCUACUAAGCAUCUUGUACAGAGUCAGGACUCAUAACUUCUCUCAAGUGAUUGCACCAGAAGUAUGUACUUUGGGAUAGACUAUUUCAUGCUUUAGUGUGUUAAGGAUGUUAAGCAAAUGCACCCAGAAUUCUGCAUCAUUCACUAUGUUUUCAAUUUGGAUUCUCUGUUUAUCCUCAGCAAUCUUCGAAUGCAGAAUCUAUCAACUUCAACAAAAUAUUCUGCAGGACGAAAGUACCGGUGGAAAUGCUGGAUAGAAGUGGGAUUUUUGAAUUUCUUGCCUCUUGCUGGAUUGGUUGGAAGCUCACAGCAGAAGCAGCAAAGAUGAAAUGAAAGAGAAGAUCCCAAAUAGCAAGAAUUCUGAGCUUAAUCUUGAGAAGCAAAGAAUACCAAAAGAUGGUGAAGCUAGUUUGCAACUACGAGAGCUUCCUGGCGCCGGAAAAUCUUUUUGAGGGAGAACAAAGUAAUGGUGAAGGUAGUGAUUUGAAGAUGGACUAUAAGAAGGCAUUGGAGGCUUUAGUACCUUGAAAUGAUUGAGUUGUGGGAAGAGAAGAUAAAGAUGGCAGAGAAACUUGAAUUCAAUGUGAAGUGUCUUCGUGUACGAGAGUGUGAAAAAUGGGCUUGGUGGGGUGCAGAAAUUUAUGGCUGAACUGCAGGAGCAAGGUCAGAUAUUUCAAGCAGCAAAACCAAAAAUUAGGGCAAUUGAGGGUGUGUUAAGGAUAUAGCAGAAAUGCAGCUGAGUGCAGCAAAGGAUGAACUGCGAGGCAAUGUUUCUGGCUUACUCAUGGAGCUAGAUACCGAAAUGUACUUACAAGUGGGUGAAAACUUACUUUUUGAUGGAAUGUUUCGCAUUAUGCCAUUAUGUAGUAGUCGAAAAGAAAAUGUUCAAGAAAAAUUAGAGAAGUCACCUUUUUGUGCGCAAAAGAACAUUCUGUAAAUUUUAACGAGUGUAGAAGUAUGUCUGUUGUUGCAA
Long non-coding RNA from Papaver somniferum (opium poppy), 2679 nucleotides. RefSeq lists it as uncharacterized. The transcript has 5 exons. The record is from RefSeq and is a predicted model, not a curated record. Lineage: Eukaryota; Viridiplantae; Streptophyta; Magnoliopsida; Ranunculales; Papaveraceae.